This 507-nucleotide ribosomal RNA is filed under the name uncultured Glomeromycotina. RNAcentral describes it as "partial small subunit ribosomal RNA". It matches the Rfam family "Eukaryotic small subunit ribosomal RNA", at positions 591 to 1092 of the family's 1831-position model. The record is from RNAcentral. Lineage: Eukaryota; Fungi; Glomeromycota.
CCAAUAGCGUAUAUUAAAGUUGUUGCAGUUAAAAAGCUCGUAGUUGAAUUUCGGGAUUGGCGCAUCGGUCGUGCCUCACGGGGUAUGAACUGGUGCAGUCAAUUUCUCACCUUCUGGAGAACCGCGAUGUCCUUAAUUGGAUGCCGCGGGGAACCAGGACCUUUACUUUGAAAAAAUUAGAGUGUUUAAAGCAGGCAUUUUUGCUUGAAUACAUUAGCAUGGAAUACUAAAAUAGGACGGCAUGGUUCUAUUUUGUUGGUUUCUAGGACCACCGUAAUGAUUAAUAGGGAUAGUUGGGGGCAUUAGUAUUCAAUUGUCAGAGGUGAAAUUCUUGGAUUUAUUGAAGACUAACUACUGCGAAAGCAUUUGCCAAGGAUGUUUUCAUUAAUCAAGAACGAAAGUUAGGGGAUCGAAGACGAUCAGAUACCGUCGUAGUCUUAACCAUAAACUAUGCCGACUAGGAAUCAGACGAUGUUAAUUUUUUAAUGACUCGUUUGGCACCUUACG